AGGACGAACGCUGGCGGCGUGCUUAACACAUGCAAGUCGAACGGAGUUACGUUUUCGGAUGUAACUUAGUGGCGAACGGGUGAGUAACGCGUGAGGAACCUGCCUUUCAGUGGGGGACAACAGUUGGAAACGACUGCUAAUACCGCAUGAUACUAUAGUACCGCAUGGUACAUUAGUCAAAGAUUUAUUGCUGAAAGAUGGCCUCGCGUCUGAUUAGCUAGUUGGUGGGGUAACGGCCCACCAAGGCGACGAUCAGUAGCCGGACUGAGAGGUUGACCGGCCACAUUGGGACUGAGAUACGGCCCAGACUCCUACGGGAGGCAGCAGUGGGGAAUAUUGGGCAAUGGGCGAAAGCCUGACCCAGCAACGCCGCGUGAAGGAAGAAGGCCUUCGGGUUGUAAACUUCUUUUACCAGGGACGAACACAAUGACGGUACCUGGAGAAAAAGCAACGGCUAACUACGUG
RNAcentral lists this ribosomal RNA (465 nucleotides) under uncultured bacterium. RNAcentral's name for it is "bacterial SSU rRNA". It matches the Rfam family "Bacterial small subunit ribosomal RNA", at positions 26 to 507 of the family's 1533-position model. The record is from RNAcentral.